UCAGCAGCCGCGGUAAUACGGAGGGGGCUAGCGUUGUUCGGAAUUACUGGGCGUAAAGCGCACGUAGGCGGUUGUGUCAGUCCGUUGUGAAAGCCCCGGGCUUAACUUGGGAAUGGCAAGGGCGACGGCAUGACUGGAGUGUAACAGAGGACCGUGGAAUUCCCGGUGUAGCGGUGAAAUGCGUAGAGAUCGGGAAGAACACCGAUGGCGAAGGCAGCGGUCUGGGUUAACACUGACGCUGAGGGGCGACAGCGUGGGGAGCAAACAGGAUUAGAUACCCUGGUAGUCCACGCCGUAAACGAUGAGAACUAGACGCUGGGCAGGUCACUGCUCGGUGUCGCAGCUAACGCGUGAAGUUCUCCGCCUGGGGAGUACGGCCGCAAGGUUGAAACUUAAAGGAAUUGGCGGGGGA
This 412-nucleotide ribosomal RNA is filed under the name uncultured bacterium. RNAcentral describes it as "bacterial SSU rRNA". It matches the Rfam family "Bacterial small subunit ribosomal RNA", at positions 508 to 920 of the family's 1533-position model. The record is from RNAcentral.